AUUGAACGCUGGCGGCAGGCCUAACACAUGCAAGUCGAACGGUAACAGGAAGCAGCUUGCUGCUUUGCUGACGAGUGGCGGACGGGUGAGCAAUGUCUGGGAAACUGCCCGAUGGAGGGGGAUAACUACUGGAAACGGUAGCUAAUACCGCAUAACGUCGCAAGACCAAAGAGGGGGACCUUAGGGCCUCUUGCCAUCGGAUGUGCCCAGAUGGGAUUAGCUAGUAGGUGGGGUAACGGCUCACCUAGGCGACGAUCCCUAGCUGGUCUGAGAGGAUGACCAGCCACACUGGAACUGAGACACGGUCCAGACUCCUACGGGAGGCAGCAGUGGGGAAUAUUGCACAAAGGGCGCAAGCCUGAUGCAGCCAUGCCGCGUGUAUGAAGAAGGCCUUCGGGUUGUAAAGUACUUUCAGCGGGGAGGAAGGGAGUAAAGUUAAUACCUUUGCUCAUUGACGUUACCCGCAGAAGAAGCACCGGCUAACUCCGUG
Molecule: ribosomal RNA, 490 nt
Filed under: uncultured bacterium
Lineage: Bacteria
Description: partial 16S ribosomal RNA
Rfam family: Bacterial small subunit ribosomal RNA
Source: RNAcentral